Molecule: ribosomal RNA, 482 nt
Filed under: uncultured bacterium
Lineage: Bacteria
Description: partial 16S ribosomal RNA
Rfam family: Bacterial small subunit ribosomal RNA
Source: RNAcentral
AUUGAACGCUGGCGGCAUGCUUUACACAUGCAAGUCGAACGGCAGCGCGGGCUUCGGCCUGGCGGCGAGUGGCGAACGGGUGAGUAAUGCAUCGGAACGUGCCCAGUAGUGGGGGAUAGCCCGGCGAAAGCCGGAUUAAUACCGCAUACGACCUGAGGGUGAAAGCGGGGGACCGAAAGGCCUCGCGCUAUUGGAGCGGCCGAUGUCGGAUUAGCUAGUUGGUGGGGUAAAGGCUUACCAAGGCGACGAUCCGUAGCUGGUCUGAGAGGACGACCAGCCAAUGGGGACUGGAGACGCGCCCGAGCCCCCUCGGGGGGGGGGAGGGGGGAAUUUUGGAAAAUGGGGGACAACCAUGACCAGCCCUGGCGGGGGGGGGGAAGAGGCCCUGGGGUUUAAAACCGGUUUUUGUCGGAGAAAAACCCCUCGGGCAAAAACCCCGGGGGGGAGGAGGGCACGGAAAAAAAAGACCCGGCCAAACAACG